This 223-nucleotide unclassified non-coding RNA is filed under the name Hevea brasiliensis (rubber tree). Lineage: Eukaryota; Viridiplantae; Streptophyta; Magnoliopsida; Malpighiales; Euphorbiaceae. The record is from RNAcentral.
AUAAAGACCUGGUUGAAAACUUAAGCAGACCAAGCAAUGAAUCUAAAGAGCUAAGCUUUCCAACCAAGUAUUCCCGGUCAUUUCUCACCCAAUAUCUUGCUUGCCUCUGGAAGCAGAAUCUAUCAUAUUGGAGGAAUCCUCAAUAUACAGCUGUUCGUUUUUUCUAUACUGUCAUCAUAUCUUUGAUGUUCGGAACAAUCUGUUGGGGAUUUGGUUCCAAAAG